UACGUAGGCAGCGAGCGUUGUUCGGAGUUAUUGGGCGUAAAGGGCUCGUAGGCGGUCUGUUGCGUCGGGAGUGAAAACUCAGGGCUUAACCCUGAGCCUGCUUCCGAUACGGGCAGACUAGAGGUAUGCAGGGGAGAACGGAAUUCCUGGUGUAGCGGUGAAAUGCGCAGAGAUCGGGAGGAACACCCGUAGCGCAGGCGGCACUCUGGGCCGGUACUGACGCUGAGGAGCGAAAGCGUGGGGAGCAAACAGG
Molecule: ribosomal RNA, 253 nt
Filed under: uncultured bacterium
Lineage: Bacteria
Description: partial 16S ribosomal RNA
Rfam family: Bacterial small subunit ribosomal RNA
Source: RNAcentral